CUGUUAAUGGGCACAGAAGUUCAACUUGAUAUGUGUCUACUCAGAGCACUGCCUGAUUCUAUCUUCACAUAGCAGUUAUUACCCUCGGGGACAAAUUAUGUCUUGCAUUGUGCACUCUCAUCCCUUCACCGAAGACUUGACAGUCCAUCCACCUAGGAAAAAACAUAUACUGCACUUAGUUUCACAGGUUGAAGACUGCAGGAAGCCAUAUUUAUUCAGAAAGUUUUUGCAGUUAUCAUCGAUCUAUGUUUGAUGAAAAUGUUUGAGGCAGUGAGCCAACCUGGACUUUCGAGCAUUAUGACAUAUAACAUUGUUCCCUCUCAUGUGGCUGUGAGUGGCAUGCCUGGUGUUGUCUGGGGACCUCAGGAUGUAACUGUGGCUGAUAUAUCAUUAAGGGGACUAGUAUGCAGCAGGAACAGCAGCCUAGAGAUGAAACUGUUUCCUUUUGACACCUGCAUCACAUCUGAGCAAAGGAGGAGGCCCUGCAGUCCUAAGGCUGGACGGUAGCCUGCUUGGCAGGCUCAGUGAGUGGUUGUGCCUCUUGCUGAUCUCCCUGGGCACUGAAGCACCAACUGAAGCACUGCAUCGAAUCACCACUCAAAAUAAAUAUCCAGGGUGGCCCUCCUGUAUUGACUAU
This 637-nucleotide long non-coding RNA is filed under the name Anas platyrhynchos platyrhynchos (common mallard). RNAcentral's name for it is "lncRNA (ENSAPLG00000018516.1)". Lineage: Eukaryota; Metazoa; Chordata; Aves; Anseriformes; Anatidae. The record is from RNAcentral.